AACUCUUGGCAAUGGAUAUCUCGGCUCUUGCAUCGAUGAAGAACAUAGCCAACUGCGAUACUUGGUGUGAAUUGUUGAAUCCCGUGAACCAUCGAGUCUUUGAAUGCAUGUUGUGCCCGAAGCCAAUCGGUUGAGGGCACAUUUGUCUGGGUGUCA
Molecule: ribosomal RNA, 156 nt
Organism: Syzygium oleosum
Lineage: Eukaryota; Viridiplantae; Streptophyta; Magnoliopsida; Myrtales; Myrtaceae
Product: 5.8S ribosomal RNA
Exons: 1
Source: RefSeq, a predicted model, not a curated record